CGCCCAGACUCCUACGGGAGGCAGCAGUGGGGGAUAUUGCACAAUGGGGGGAACCCUGAUGCAGCGACGCCGCGUGGGUGAAGGAGUGCUUCGGCAUGUAAAGCCCUAUCGGCAGGAAAGAAGCAAGACGGUACCUGACUAAGAAGUCCCGGCUAACUACGUGCCAGCAGCCGCGGUAAUACGUAGGGGGCAAGCGUUAUCCGGAUUUACUGGGUGGAAAGGGGGCGCAGACGGCAGCGCAAGCCAGGAGUGAAAGCCCGGGGCCCAACCCCGGGACUGCUCUUGGAACUGCGCGGCUGGAGUGCAGGAGGGGCAGGCGGAAUUCCUGGUGUAGCGGUGAAAUGCGUAGAUAUCAGGAGGAACACCGGUGGCGAAGGCGGCCUGCUGGACUGCGACUGACGUUGAGGCUCGAAGGCGUGGGGAGCAAACAGGAUUAGAUACCCCCGUAA
Molecule: ribosomal RNA, 449 nt
Filed under: uncultured bacterium
Lineage: Bacteria
Description: bacterial SSU rRNA
Rfam family: Bacterial small subunit ribosomal RNA
Source: RNAcentral